Molecule: long non-coding RNA, 905 nt
Organism: Eleginops maclovinus (Patagonian blennie)
Lineage: Eukaryota; Metazoa; Chordata; Actinopteri; Perciformes; Eleginopidae
Exons: 4
Source: RefSeq, a predicted model, not a curated record
GGCUUCCAAGCUAGGCUACAUGCUACCGUAUGCUACUCGCGGCGCUAUCCCGCGAAAAGUCAACAGCACACCCUGCUGUCUCGUUGCUCCCGGUUGCCGGUCGUCUUACUCAAGGAAUGCCAACAGGACAGAAGCAGAGAAAUGUUACUGAAACAGUGCGAUCUUCCCGCUGAGAGAAUACCUGACUCCUGGCACGGACAUUCCGUCUUCCCCUGGGCAGAGAGCAGAAAGGCACGGAGACAGAGGAAGAGAGGCAACAAGAACCACAACAGGAGUCAGAGGAAGCCGAUUUGACCGACUCCGUGGAUUGGCUGUGCUGGAAGGCCUCCGACACAUCAAAGUCCUCCACUUGUGGCAAGGCGAGACUGCAGCUGGUGGUAGCGCAUCAACAGCUCCGUUUGGACAGGCUGCUGUGCACUCACCUGACACACCUGGGAUUAAGAAAGAAAGGAAAGUUUACCAGGAGGAUUUAACACAGAACAUCAAACAGGAUGAGAGGCACUUUAUGUCAAAGACGAAGACCUUGAAAACAAACUAUUCUUGUAGCUUUUUCCCUAGUGACUCACCUCGUCCCCCAUGUGUGGCUGGUAGUCAAAGCGUGCUGGAGGACAGAAAAUCUGGCUAUGUGUGUCCAUGCACUUCAGCUUGUCUCCUCUGAUGUCCAUGGCAUCUACCGAUCCCUCCAGCAAGUCCAGACCUUCGUGGCGUGAGGUCUCCAGACUAUACUCCGCGGACAAGUAGGUUCUCAAGGUGCGUGCCAGGCUUGCAUGGAAACCUAGGUCGCAGCACUGAGAAACAAAAAGUGUAUCAUACAAUAACUAUGUUUGCCACACAUUUUAAGUUCCAUAAUUUGUCUGAUCUACAAAAAAUUCAGAAAUCUGUCCAUCCCAGUUUCUGAAGUCCAA